RNAcentral lists this ribosomal RNA (491 nucleotides) under uncultured archaeon. Its description in RNAcentral is "bacterial SSU rRNA". It matches the Rfam family "Archaeal small subunit ribosomal RNA", at positions 388 to 879 of the family's 1478-position model. The record is from RNAcentral.
CCAGCAUCCUAUGCUGGCUGUCCGGGUGUGUAAAAUACACCUGUUAGCAAGGGCCGGGCAAGACCGGUGCCAGCCGCCGCGGUAACACCGGCGGCCCGAGUGGUGAUCGUGAUUAUUGGGUCUAAAGGGUCCGUAGCCGGUUUGGUCAGUCCUCCGGGAAAUCUGACGGCUCAACCGUUAGGCUUUCGGGGGAUACUGCCAGACUUGGAACCGGGAGAGGUAAGAGGUACUACAGGGGUAGGAGUGAAAUCUUGUAAUCCCUGUGGGACCACCUGUGGCGAAGGCGUCUUACCAGAACGGGUUCGACGGUGAGGGACGAAAGCUGGGGGCACGAACCGGAUUAGAUACCCGGGUAGUCCCAGCCGUAAACGAUGCUCGCCAGGUGUCAGGCAUGGCGCGACCGUGUCUGGUGCCGCAGGGAAGCCGUGAAGCGAGCCACCUGGGAAGUACGGCCGCAAGGCUGAAACUUAAAGGAAUUGGCGGGGGAGCAC